Molecule: ribosomal RNA, 635 nt
Filed under: uncultured Gammaproteobacteria bacterium
Lineage: Bacteria; Pseudomonadati; Pseudomonadota; Gammaproteobacteria
Description: bacterial SSU rRNA
Rfam family: Bacterial small subunit ribosomal RNA
Source: RNAcentral
UGGCUCAGAUUGAACGCUGGCGGAAUGCUUUACACAUGCAAGUCGAGCGGCAGCGCGGGGCAACCUGGCGGCGAGCGGCGAACGGGUGAGUAACACAUCGGAACGUACCCUGUUGUGGGGGAUAGCCCGGCGAAAGCCGGAUUAAUACCGCAUAAGACCUGAGGGUGAAAGCGGGGGACCGCAAGGCCUCGCGCGACAGGAGCGGCCGAUGGCGGAUUAGCUAGUUGGUGGGGUAAAGGCUCACCAAGGCGACGAUCCGUAGCUGGUCUGAGAGGAUGAUCAGCCACACUGGAACUGAGACACGGUCCAGACUCCUACGGGAGGCAGCAGUGGGGAAUUUUGGACAAUGGGGGCAACCCUGAUCCAGCCAUUCCGCGUGAGUGAAGAAGGCCUUCGGGUUGUAAAGCUCUUUCGGCAGGAACGAAACGGUGGGCUCUAACAUAGUCUGCUAAUGACGGUACCUGAAGAAGAAGCACCGGCUAACUACGUGCCAGCAGCCGCGGUAAUACGUAGGGUGCGAGCGUUAAUCGGAAUUACUGGGCGUAAAGCGUGCGCAGGCGGUUUCGUAAGACAGAUGUGAAAUCCCCGGGCUUAACCUGGGAACUGCGUUUGUGACUGCGAGACUGGAGUGUGGC